RNAcentral lists this ribosomal RNA (429 nucleotides) under uncultured bacterium. RNAcentral's name for it is "bacterial SSU rRNA". It matches the Rfam family "Bacterial small subunit ribosomal RNA", at positions 903 to 1337 of the family's 1533-position model. The record is from RNAcentral.
AAAGGAAUUGACGGGGGCCCGCACAAGCGGAGGAACAUGUGGUUUAAUUCGAUGAUACGCGAGGAACCUUACCCGGGCUCAAACGCAAGGCGCUACACCCUGAAAGGGGUGGUUCUUCGGACGUCUUGCGGGGUGCUGCAUGGUUGUCGUCAGCUCGUGCCGUGAGGUGUCGGCUUAAGUGCCAUAACGAGCGCAACCCCCAUCUUCAGUUGCCAUCGGUUGAAGCCGGGCACUCUGGAGAGACGCAGGCGCAAGCUGUGAGGAAAGGCGGGGAUGACGUCAAAUCAGCACGGCCUUACGUCCGGGGCGACACACGUGUUACAAUGGCGGGGUGACAGCGGGAAGCCAGGCGGCGACGCCGAGCCGAUCCCGAAAACCCGUCUCAGUUCGGAUCGGAGUCUGCAACCCGACUCCGGAAGCCGGCCGCCU